RNAcentral lists this small RNA (1708 nucleotides) under Histoplasma capsulatum var. duboisii H88. Its description in RNAcentral is "Histoplasma capsulatum H88 hypothetical RNA". The record is from RNAcentral. Lineage: Eukaryota; Fungi; Ascomycota; Eurotiomycetes; Onygenales; Ajellomycetaceae.
UGACACUUUUUCAUCUUUCUCAUUCUUUCUUCCCAGAUAUGAAGCUUUGUCAGUACAGGACGACACUUGGUACGCGGAAGGAUCAACAGACCCCAACCACCCCCAAUUUUAUAGACGGGUUAAAGCCACCCAACAAACUUGGCGAGCGUUAUUCUCCCCCUUCUUUUCUCAAAACAUCAGGGUUGUUUUGAUCUCUUCCUAUUGUGGCAUACCUGAACAGGAUGCUGUCCUGGUAGGAGGGCUCCUUGGGCAUUGGGCGCCACUCAAUGCCACCGCCUGGAUUCCCAACGAAUCAACACACCCAUCUAUGAAACCAGAUUCCUGAGAUAACAUUCGAGGCGGGAUGUGGGGAAUUCUCCAAGGAACAAUCCCACACUCCGGCACGACCCUGUGCUUGGAUUGUUCUUCCUUGCAGGCUACAAGCGGACAGCGCAUCCGGCAUGACCAACAUGAUCCCUGUAGUACUAUACCAUGCUGGGGUCUCUUGGAACGGAGGUGGUGUUAAUCCGGUAUUUUCAUGGCCGAUCCGUUACCAUAUGAAUUAGGCCUGGAUCUGUAUUCGCUUUGGCGGCAAAAAAACGGGAGAGGAUGGUGUGAUAUUGGAGGAGUUUCGGGUGAGGGACUAUAAAGGAUGACCCUUUGACAAGAAUUUGACACCCCCAAACCCUGAAUAGCAUACUAUGCAGGUUACCAAGGAACUUUAUCAAUGCGCAGUGAGAUCAAUCACCAUAUAGUAUUUUGUUUCCUAGGUGCAAAUGACGGGGAAAAACGGAGGCGAGCAGCCGAAACUCCAUAAAAUUAAAAGGAACAAAGACUCUUUGCCCGGAGUUUGCCCCAGAAGCCCGAAGUGAACGAAAGACAAGGUUGGGAGAAGCCCGGGAUAGAGACAUGGGGUUGUCGGGAGAAAGGGGCAACCUGGCCAACCACCUGUGGCAAUAAAUGUUGCCGUGGGUAGGCGUCUCAUAUCUUCCUUUCCUGGUAGCAUUUGCCUUACUUUCCCCAUUUCCCCGCCUUCGUCAACAUCUCAGAUAUUUCUUACCAGAGCUCAUGUAAAUCACUAAAAUACUCUUGUAAGGAGCAGGAUGAAAUAAUACUCUCAACUCGCCUCAGAAGUGGAUCGAUGGAUCCUCUUGAAGAUCUCUCUCUCUCUCCCUCCACGCUUCUGAUUGGAUCAGAUCCCCUUGGCCGGUAGAUUCCUUGCCUUCCUACCCUAACCCCCUGGAUAGAGGACUAACCAGAUGGACACUCUGGGCCCAUGCAUUGGAUUCUGCAGACUGAUGGAACAUUCGUUUGGGACCUUCCUAAGUGCGUUGAGCAGGGUAAUUAAAAUGAACCUUUGAUUGUAUGGCACCGGAAAUAAGACAAGACUAAGUCAGAAACCAGUAUGGUGGUGUAGGAGUUGUUGAAUUUAGCCUCCUUCGUUUCCCGCAGGACUUUCAUCUCUCUGUUGGAUGGCCAGGAUGUUGGACACACAACAACUAAUGAGUUCCAAUCGAUGGUAACCGAGAUCCACAAGGGGGCUUCUCCAAGAUCUAAAACAAGUUGUUCUCCCGAAUACAGGGGAUAUAAAACUGAAAACAUGUAAAAGGUAAUGAUUGAUCCCAAAUCGGUAUUGAAAUGUGGCCGUCCUCAGUAUCUAUGCCGUAGCAAAUACAAAUCACGGGAAAUAUGUUUUAAUAGCAUAUAUAUUCAAAGAGUCGGACUAAAU